RNAcentral lists this ribosomal RNA (118 nucleotides) under Penicillium vulpinum. Lineage: Eukaryota; Fungi; Ascomycota; Eurotiomycetes; Eurotiales; Aspergillaceae. The record is from RNAcentral.
AAAUAUGACUAUGGGGUAUAGAAAACAGGGCCUCCUGUCCGCUCGGCUGUAUUUAAGCCACACGCCGGUGAGAGUAGUUGGGUAGGUAACUACUAGCGAAUCCUCACUGUUGUAUGUU